AUUGAACGCUGGCGGCAUGCCUUACACAUGCAAGUCGAACGGCAGCACGGGGCAACCUGGUGGCGAGUGGCGAACGGGUGAGUAAUGCAUCGGAACGUGCCAUUGAGUGGGGGAUAACGUAGCGAAAGUUGCGCUAAUACCGUAUAUUCUGUGAGCAGGAAAGCAGGGGACCGCAAGGCCUUGCGCUCUUUGAGCGGCCGAUGUCAGAUUAGCUAGUUGGUGAGGUAACGGCUUACCAAGGCGACGAUCUGUAGCGGGUCUGAGAGGAUGAUCCGCCACACUGGAACUGAGACACGGUCCAGACUCCUACGGGAGGCAGCAGUGGGGAAUUUUGGACAAUGGGCGCAAGCCUGAUCCAGCCAUGCCGCGUGAGUGAAGAAGGCC
Molecule: ribosomal RNA, 384 nt
Filed under: uncultured bacterium
Lineage: Bacteria
Description: bacterial SSU rRNA
Rfam family: Bacterial small subunit ribosomal RNA
Source: RNAcentral